Molecule: long non-coding RNA, 1785 nt
Organism: Psammomys obesus (fat sand rat)
Lineage: Eukaryota; Metazoa; Chordata; Mammalia; Rodentia; Muridae
Exons: 3
Source: RefSeq, a predicted model, not a curated record
UUCUCACCUUCAGCCGAGGUGCCAAGUCAGAGCCAUGCUGAGCCCACCUCUUUCGUUUUUCCGGGGUCUUCUCGACACCCCCUUACUUCUCCUUCCAACAAUAUUAGCUAACUUCCCCUGGGCCCUCCUCCUCUCUGUGACCCAUGACUCCUCCACCUGCCUAAACUUUGCACUCCAUUCAGCCUGGAUCCCCUCCCUGGCCUCCAGCCCUCUGCGCCCACGGCACCGGGGCCAGCAGAAGACUGCUUUCUUUGGGUUCCAGCUACACUCACCUCCCGCGACGAUUCUACAGAGACUCCACAUUUGAGUCUUCAAAGGUGCCAGAGACUCACACUCCACUGUAAGCACAAGCUGGGGGAGGUGGGGCUCCGAAGUUUCAGCCUGCUUUGGAGUUUGGUUUGCUUUUUGUUUUUUACACACUGCAGCCGAGAACUCAAUGGAGCCAGCCCGCAGAGCACCCACCGUGUGCUGGGCAGCAGAUGCAAAGGGGGGGCCCACCGGCUGGCCUCAUAGCAGGCGCUGCAGAGGGAGGGCGCAAGUCCACCCUCCUCUCCUCAGCAACUGAGGACCCCAGUCUGCCACUGCUCAGCAGUCUAAUCCAGGUCCUGGAAUCCGAGGCAGCUGUCAUUUCCACAUUUCCCUUUACCUCAUACCAGAGCCCACUGGACAUUGGAGUGGCCUAAAGGAACUCCCAGGAGGCCAGGGUAGGGGAAAGCUGUUCAAGAGGCUGAGUUGGCGCCAGCUGGAGUCUGGGACACAGCGGGCAGAGACCAUGACAAAAGAAACCACAACCAAUCAAAACAUGGAGUUUGUAGAGUCUGGUCCCGACGGAUACGUCGACGACAUGACUUCCACAGCCAAGGCUCCGGGAUCAUUGCGGAAGAGGGGCAGAGAUUGUAAGAGCCAGAUCAUCAGGGAGUUUGCUAAGAGACUGUGUCUCCUAGGAAUGUCAGAAGCUACACCCGUAAACUCUCGCCAUCACGGCCGCCUAAACACAAGCUGAGCAAGGACAGUGAUGAUAGACAAGCCAAAGCGGAUGGAGAAAAGUCAAUGAAGCCUCAGGCCUACAUAAAGAAAUGCAGACAACUGAAGAAUGUGGAGAGCAGGAGAAAUAGUCUUCCCCAGAGAUGAGCUGCCAGCCCUGACGUCGUGUAUGUACAAGUCAUAUUUUAUAGACUGAAAACGUUGUGUGUAAGCACAUACAGACAUAUGUUUAUGUAGACAUAUAUAAUUAUUAUGCACACAUGUAACAGAAAAAGGCCAUGAAAAAGAAAUCAAGGGACACUGGUACAGGGGAGGAAUUGCCAGGAGGAAAAGGGAGGGCGGAAUGAUGUGAUUAUAUCUCAAAAGAUAGAAAAAAUAUAUUGAAAAUAAAUAAAAUGGGGUCAGUGGGGCAAUGCUCAGCCUAGCAGCCACCCUUUCACAAUACAGAGCAACAGAAGAGAUGCUCCACCCCCACCCCACCCCACCGUCCAAUGGGCCUAAAGUAACUGACAGGACAGCUCUUCUCCACAGAGACAUUGUGGGCAUUCCACAACCUUACAUCAUUAUCCUCCCUUAAAGCACCCAUCACUGGGCACCUGGCCGGGCACCAAGACAGAGAGACUGUGAACGCAUCACUCCGAUUCACAUUUCCUUCUCCGAUCCGUGUCACCUGCACACACAUGCUUCAUAAACACGCUCACAGUAAUAAAAAUGAAAUGAUUUUAAAGAUGAAGAACCAUUUCCCGCAGCAGGGAGGAAGAAUACCGUGUUAUUUUUAAAGCAAUUCCCUCUUCAGAAGAA